RNAcentral lists this microRNA (23 nucleotides) under Sarcophilus harrisii (Tasmanian devil). RNAcentral's name for it is "Sha-Mir-7371-o27_3p (mature (guide))". Lineage: Eukaryota; Metazoa; Chordata; Mammalia; Dasyuromorphia; Dasyuridae. The record is from RNAcentral.
AAAGUAACAUCAUGUGCAACAGA